This 476-nucleotide ribosomal RNA is filed under the name Acrapex mystica. RNAcentral's name for it is "partial 16S large subunit ribosomal RNA". The record is from RNAcentral. Lineage: Eukaryota; Metazoa; Arthropoda; Insecta; Lepidoptera; Noctuidae.
UGUCUUUUUGAGAAUAAUUUAAAGUCUAAUCUGCCCACUGAUUAAUAUUGAAGGGCUGCAGUAUAUUGACUGUACAAAGGUAGCAUAAUCAUUAGUCAUUUAAUUGAUGACUUGUAUGAAAGAUUGGAUGAGAUAUAAACUGUCUUUUAUUUAUUUAUAAAAUUUAAUUUUUUUAUUAAAAAGUUAAAAUAAUUUAAAAAGACGAGAAGACCCUAUAGAGUUUUAUAAAUAUAUUAAAUUAAGAUUAUAAUGUAAUAUAAAUUUAAAAUUUAAUUAUUUAUUUUAUUGGGGUGAUAAAAAAAUAUAAAAAACUUUUUUUAUGGUUAAAACAUUGAUAAAUGAUUAUAUGAUCCAAUAAUAUUGAUUAUAAGAAAAAAUUACCUUAGGGAUAACAGCGUAAUUUUUUUUUUUAGUUCGAAUAAAAAAAAAAGUUUGCGACCUCGAUGUUGGAUUAAGAUAAAGUUUAAAUGUAGAAG